GUGAGGAAUAUUGGUCAAUGGGCGGGAGCCUGAACCAGCCAAGUCGCGUGAAGGAAGAAGGAUCUAUGGUUCGUAAACUUCUUUUGCAGGGGAAUAAAGUGCAGGACGUGUCCUGUUUUGUAUGUACCCUGAGAAUAAGGAUCGGCUAACUCCGUGCCAGCAGCCGCGGUAAUACGGAGGAUCCGAGCGUUAUCCGGAUUUAUUGGGUUUAAAGGGUGCGUAGGUGGUUUGAUAAGUCAGCGGUGAAAGUUUGCAGCUUAACUGUAAAAAUGCCGUUGAAACUGUCGGACUUGAGUGUAAAUGAGGUAGGCGGAAUGCGUGGUGUAGCGGUGAAAUGCAUAGAUAUCACGCAGAACUCCGAUUGCGAAGGCAGCUUACUAAGCUACAACUGACACCGAAGCACGAAAGCGUGGGGAUCAAACAGGAUUAGAAACCCGUGUAGUCC
RNAcentral lists this ribosomal RNA (445 nucleotides) under uncultured bacterium. RNAcentral's name for it is "partial 16S ribosomal RNA". It matches the Rfam family "Bacterial small subunit ribosomal RNA", at positions 354 to 796 of the family's 1533-position model. The record is from RNAcentral.